This 46-nucleotide non-coding RNA is filed under the name Podarcis lilfordi (Lilford's wall lizard). It matches the Rfam family "Histone 3' UTR stem-loop". Rfam says of the family: The mRNAs of metazoan histone genes lack a poly-A tail. 3' end processing occurs at a site between a highly conserved stem-loop (modelled by this family) and a purine rich region around 20 nts downstream (the histone downstream element, or HDE). The record is from RNAcentral. Lineage: Eukaryota; Metazoa; Chordata; Lepidosauria; Squamata; Lacertidae.
ACAAAGGCUCUUUUAAGAGCCACCCACAAUAUCCAGAAAAGAGCUG